Oryza glaberrima (African rice) is the source of this 200-nucleotide non-coding RNA. NCBI's taxonomy places the organism in Eukaryota, Viridiplantae, Streptophyta, Magnoliopsida, Poales, Poaceae. The record is from Rfam.
AAAAAGGCAAACCCUGGGUUUCCGUGCCAACGUUUGACUGUCCGUCUUAUAUAAUUUUUUUAUAAUUAGUAUUUUCAUUGUUGUUAGAUGAUAAAACAUGAUUAAUACUUUAUGCGUGACUUAUCUUUUUAUUUUUUCAUAAUUUUUUUAAUAAGACGGACGGUCAAACUUUGGACACGGAAACCAGGGUUUGUCUUUUU